RNAcentral lists this long non-coding RNA (222 nucleotides) under Gossypium barbadense (sea-island cotton). Its description in RNAcentral is "long non-coding RNA (GBAR_LNC014442)". Lineage: Eukaryota; Viridiplantae; Streptophyta; Magnoliopsida; Malvales; Malvaceae. The record is from RNAcentral.
GACAAUAAAUAUAAAGGAAUAGAAAUAGAUGCAAGAGGUGGAAAAAUUCUCUCAUCAUACAUAAAAGUUGUCAAUGUGCGAAAUUGUAUUGAAAAGGUGGAAAAUUUGUUUGGUGUUACAUAGAGAUCCCAACUGAAUUCCAAGAUAUUUCUCAACUCCUAGAAUUCUCGAAAACCACCGCUUGUGUGUAUGAAAAACAAAAUGCUGAAUGGGAGUACCAAG